ACUGCAGGCUGCAACUCGCCUGCACGAAGUCGGAAUUGCUAGUAAUCGUAGGUCAGCAUACUACGGUGAAUACGUUCCCGGGCCUUGUACACACCGCCCGUCAAACCAUGAGAGUUGGCAACACCCGAAGUCGGUAGUCUAACCGCAAGGAGGACGCCGCCGAAGGUGGGGUUNAUGAUUAGGGUUAAGUCGUAACAAGGUAUC
Molecule: ribosomal RNA, 204 nt
Filed under: uncultured bacterium
Lineage: Bacteria
Description: partial 16S ribosomal RNA
Rfam family: Bacterial small subunit ribosomal RNA
Source: RNAcentral